UACGAAGGGGGCUAGCGUUGCUCGGAAUGACUGGGCGUAAAGGGCGCGUAGGCGGUUUGUACAGUCAGGUGUGAAAUCCCCAGGCUCAACCUGGGAACUGCGUCCGAUACUGGCAGGCUUGAAUCCGGGAGAGGGAUGUGGAAUUCCAGGUGUAGCGGUGAAAUGCGUAGAUAUCUGGAGGAACACCGGUGGCGAAGGCGGCAUCCUGGACCGGUAUUGACGCUGAGGCGCGAAAGCUAGGGGAGCAAACGGG
Molecule: ribosomal RNA, 253 nt
Filed under: uncultured bacterium
Lineage: Bacteria
Description: partial 16S ribosomal RNA
Rfam family: Bacterial small subunit ribosomal RNA
Source: RNAcentral